RNAcentral lists this ribosomal RNA (253 nucleotides) under uncultured bacterium. Its description in RNAcentral is "partial 16S ribosomal RNA". It matches the Rfam family "Bacterial small subunit ribosomal RNA", at positions 524 to 776 of the family's 1533-position model. The record is from RNAcentral.
UACAGAGGGUGCGAGCGUUAAUCGGAAUUACUGGGCGUAAAGCGCACGUAGGUGGCGACGUAAGUCGGGUGUGAAAGCCCCGGGCUCAACCUGGGAAUUGCAUUCGAGACUGCAUUGCUGGAGUACGGAAGAGGAAGGCGGAAUUCCCGGUGUAGCGGUGAAAUGCGUAGAUAUCUGGAGGAACACCGGUGGCGAAGGCGGCAUCCUGGACCAUUACUGACACUGAAAAGCGAAAGCCAGGGGAGCAAACGGG